AUAAAGCGAUGGGAUAGAAAAGCAGGGCCAUAUUUUUCAUAUUGAAAUUUAUAACCACACUUUUAUACAAAACACAAACCAUAACACAUCACAACUUUUUAUUCUAAAAUCUAUUCACAUCAAAAUAGAGAUCUCAAAAGAAGACAGAAACUUAGAUAAACUAGGCCGUACUCAAGGCCUCUCUCAGAAUUGUCUUCUUCUUCCAAAAAUCCUUUUCUUCAGAUCUCACCUCUGAGUUCUCCUUCUCGGAUUCCUCCUCCUCAGCUCUUCAGCGGGGUCCUGAAAUGGUUUCCCCAACUGGGAUGAGACUACGUCUCAGCGAGUUCUACCCCACUAAGCCCGAUUAGAAAACUAUUAUACUAAAGGCUGCCUAAACACGCAUAGGGCAGAGGACUUACCUUGCCCUCUGAUCCUACCUGCAAGUCAGUACAAUUCACAAUAAACAGCCAUUCGCUUCCAACAAAUCGAACUAGUCGAUUACAUGUCAUACAAUUCAAUAUCCCCACUGUGAGAUAUUUAAAAGCUAGGCCACGUGUAUUCUCCAGGACGACCUUCCAAGUCUCCGAGUUCACGUGCCUUGAACCUUGGGCCCACGUGCAUUCUCUCAGGCGACCUUUUCGCCAAAGUGAUGCAUCAAGUCACCGAGACCACGUGCCCUUUUAGAUGCCCGGGCCCACGUGCAUUCUCUUAGGUGCAUCUCACCAAAGCGAUGCAUCAAUUCGCCGAGACCACGUGCCCUUUUAGAUGCCAUUCCGGAAUGCUGGACCCACGUGCAUUCUCUAAGGUGCAUCUCACCAAAGCGAUGCAUCAAUUCGCCGAGACCACGUGUCCUUUUAGAUGCCAAAUCCUGUCACCGAGCCACGUGCAUUCUCCCGGACGACAUACCGAGUCUCCGAGCCACGUGCAUUCUCUCAGGCGACCUUUUCGCCAAGGUGACAUAUUCAACCACUGAACUCACGUGCAUUUUCCCAGGUGACACUCCAAUUCACCGAGCCACGUGUCCUCUUUGCAGUGAUUACCAAUUCACUUUCAAUAUCGACAACCAAUGCCCAACGAUUCUCAAUCAAAUAAUUAAAUCAACUCCACAAAGCAUUAUAAUUACUGAAUAACAUACUUGGCCAUUUACCAAUCAACAAUUCAAUCGCAAUCAAUUCCAAUCAAUUUAGGGUAAAUCCCUAAAAUAUCACAAUUUAUUCAAUUCCAAACAACGUAGAGCUCAAAUAAAUAAACGAACUGCGCCACGACGAUCGGCACGAGAUUUCGGUCGUCGGCCAUCAAAAUCUUAAUUUCCGAAAAAUAAUUAAUUAAAUAAUUAAUUUCGAAAAUUAAAUAAUAAUUAUUAAAAAAAUUCAAUUUAGCUCAAAAUACAGCCCGAUUAAAUAAACGGACUUCACCACGCUCAUCAGCAUAAUUUUCCGGUUCCAGAUCAUCUCAGUUGAAUUUUCGGAAAAUAAUUAAUUAAUUAAUUAAUUUCGAAUAUUAAAUAAUUAAUAUUAAAAAUCCCAUUUAGCUCAAAUUAAAGCCCGAUUAAAUAAACGGACUUCACCACAGUCAUCCUCAUAAUAUUCCGAUUCCGAACCAUCUCCCUUGAAUUUUCGGAAAAUAAAUAAUUAUUUAAUUAAAUUUCGAAAUUUAAUAUUUAAAUACUAAAAAAAUAUCCACUUAGGCCCGAAAAGCCUAAUUGGAGCCCACUAAGGGUCGGGAAAAUUCCCGAAGCACUUCCAAUAAUUAGUAGACCACGUCCACUUGCUAAUUGCACAAUCAAUUUAUCUAAAUCACAUCACAAUUAACUAAUAAUUGCUAAUUUAUUCUAAUCUAACAACCUAAACAUAAUUAAUUAAAUCUAAACCAGCUUAAAGCAUAAUUAGCCACUAAUCAUGGAUUAGUGAGAUUACUCACCAAAUCGCGCGCAAAUCGGAUCAAUCCGACGGCGGCGACGCGAGGAACGAUUGUUCCCAAAGCACGGCUCGGGUUCGGGGCCGGGAAACGGCCCAAAAGCGGGCCCGAAGUGCUGGAAACCCACUUCGUGGGUCUGCUGGUCGCGGCUGAACAGAGCAACUCCGGCGGCUAGGGUGGCGGGGGAAGGCCGGCGGAGGGCAAGGGGGAUGAGGGGGAGGUCCGGCGAGGUUAGGCGGUGGCCAGAGGUGGCCGGACGGUGGCUGGUCGGUGCUGGAACAGGGGCGAACAGCAGCUGGUUCGCUCGGCUUGGGCGCGCGCGGGCGGCGGGACGGCGGCGGGCACACGAGCACGGCGCGGCGGUGCGACGGUGCGGCGGUGGGACGAGCGGCGAGGGUUUCUCGGCGAGCUGCUGUCUCCGAGCUCCUGGUUCGCACGCAAAGAAGAAAGAAGAACAGAGGGGUUCGGUUGCGUGGGGGAAGAAAGAAGAGAGAGG
This 2392-nucleotide long non-coding RNA is filed under the name Eucalyptus grandis. Its description in RNAcentral is "long non-coding RNA (EGRA_LNC000856)". Lineage: Eukaryota; Viridiplantae; Streptophyta; Magnoliopsida; Myrtales; Myrtaceae. The record is from RNAcentral.